Molecule: long non-coding RNA, 532 nt
Organism: Dermacentor silvarum
Lineage: Eukaryota; Metazoa; Arthropoda; Arachnida; Ixodida; Ixodidae
Exons: 3
Source: RefSeq, a predicted model, not a curated record
UGUGGAUGUGCUUCAGUUUUUGUUAUUUUAAGCCUCUUACUGACAAAUUGUUGUUUCAUUUCUUUAGGGUCUGCGGCAGAGGCUUCGAAAAGCGGCUCCCACACAUUGAAGUGCCCCGAGGAGCAGGGUGUGUACAGUGUCGACUUGUCUUUUUUUUCGAACUGAGUUGACUGUUUACCAAACCUCUACAGGUGGCAGCUCCCAUGUAGCUGGUGAAGGAGUUCCUGCUGACUGCGUCUUGCUGGAGGAAACCUUGGGCAGUCGCUCAGUUGUCACAAAGGGAACAUGUGUGACUGGCUGCUCGCAGGAUUGUUCCGACAGCAGUGUCCGAGGUACUGAACAAGCUUCACAAGACUCUCCAGAAGAUGUGUCCUCCAACAGCUCCACGCCUGAGUGCCCUACAGCAAAUGUGCGUUCCUGUGUGCCAGCUGCAAGGUCUCCAUCAAAGAAAUACAAGCAAACCAUUCGACGUCUGCAAGCCAAAGUAGCAGCACAGCGGAAAACUAUCAAAAGACUGCUGAGGCAGCCUCAC